RNAcentral lists this non-coding RNA (21 nucleotides) under Caenorhabditis elegans. The record is from RNAcentral. Lineage: Eukaryota; Metazoa; Nematoda; Chromadorea; Rhabditida; Rhabditidae.
UAGGAUGGUACUAUUUCAUUC